RNAcentral lists this ribosomal RNA (465 nucleotides) under uncultured bacterium. RNAcentral's name for it is "partial 16S ribosomal RNA". It matches the Rfam family "Bacterial small subunit ribosomal RNA", at positions 28 to 506 of the family's 1533-position model. The record is from RNAcentral.
GACGAACGCUGGCGGCGCGCCUAACACAUGCAAGUCGAACGAGCGAGAGAGAGCUUGCUUUCUCAAGCGAGUGGCGAACGGGUGAGUAACGCGUGAGGAACCUGCCUCAGAGAGGGGGACAACAGUUGGAAACGACUGCUAAUACCGCAUAAGCCCACAGGUCGGCAUCGACCAGAGGGAAAAGGAGCAAUCCGCUUUGAGAUGGCCUCGCGUCCGAUUAGCUAGUUGGUGAGGUAACGGCCCACCAAGGCAACGAUCGGUAGCCGGACUGAGAGGUUGAACGGCCACAUUGGGACUGAGACACGGCCCAGACUCCUACGGGAGGCAGCAGUGGGGAAUAUUGCACAAUGGGGGAAACCCUGAUGCAGCGACGCCGCGUGGAGGAAGAAGGUCUUCGGAUUGUAAACUCCUGUUGGUGAGGAAGAUAAUGACGGUACUCAACAAGGAAGUGACGGCUAACUACGU